GGGCCCGCACAAGCAGUGGAGUAUGUGGUUUAAUUCGAAGCAACGCGAAGAACCUUACCAGGACUUGACAUAAAGAGGGAUAUGUUAGAGAUAACAUAGCUCUUCGGAGCUUCUUUACAGGUGGUGCAUGGUUGUCGUCAGCUCGUGUCGUGAGAUGUUGGGUUAAGUCCCGCAACGAGCGCAACCCCUGUUGCCAGUUGCCAGCAGUAAGAUGGGCACUCUGGCGAGACUGCCGGUGAUAAAUCGGAGGAAGGUGGGGACGACGUCAAAUCAUCAUGCCCCUUAUGUCCUGGGCUACACACGUACUACAAUGGCUAAAACAGAGGGAAGCGAGGCCGCAAGGCGGAGCAAAUCCCAAAAAAUAGCCUCAGUUCAGAUUGUGGGCUGCAACUCGCCCACAUGAAGACGGAAUUGCUAGUAAUGGCAGGUCAGCAUACUGCCGUGAAUACGUUCCCGGGCCUU
RNAcentral lists this ribosomal RNA (462 nucleotides) under uncultured bacterium. RNAcentral's name for it is "bacterial SSU rRNA". It matches the Rfam family "Bacterial small subunit ribosomal RNA", at positions 917 to 1382 of the family's 1533-position model. The record is from RNAcentral.